Molecule: transfer RNA, 73 nt
Filed under: Candidatus Cytomitobacter primus
Lineage: Bacteria; Pseudomonadati; Pseudomonadota; Alphaproteobacteria; Holosporales; Holosporaceae
Rfam family: tRNA
About the family: Transfer RNA (tRNA) molecules are approximately 80 nucleotides in length. Their secondary structure includes four short double-helical elements and three loops (D, anti-codon, and T loops).
Source: Rfam by way of RNAcentral
GGGCGCUUAGCUCAGUCGGUAGAGCACUUGACUUUUAAUCAAGGUGUCGUAGGUUCGAACCCUACAGCGCCUG